Molecule: non-coding RNA, 77 nt
Organism: Podarcis lilfordi (Lilford's wall lizard)
Lineage: Eukaryota; Metazoa; Chordata; Lepidosauria; Squamata; Lacertidae
Source: the annotation of a GenBank genome assembly
GCUGUAGCUCAGUGGUAGAGCGUCUGCUUUGCAUGCAGAAGCUCCCAUUCCAAUCUGAAACCCUGGAGAGGGCAGCU